CAGUAGUCAUAUGCUGAUCUAACAGAUUAAGCCAUGCAAGUGUAAGUUCAUGCUCUCUAAUGAGCGAGACCGCGAACGGCUCAUUAAAUCGGACAUAACUUACUUGAUAAUCUCUCGGACGGUGGAUAACUGUUGUAAAUCUAGAGCUAAUACAUGCGUACAGCUUCUGAAGCGCAAUUAUUAGAAUCAGUUGACUCUGGAUAAAUUUGCUGAUCACAGGCGUGUGCCUGUGACAUAUCAAUUAGAUGUCCGCCCCAUCAAUUGUUGACGGUAAGGUAGUGGCUUACCGUGGUUGCAACGGGUAACGGGGAAUCAGGGUUCGGUUCCGGAGAGGGAGCAUGAGAAAUGGCUGCCAGAUCUAUGGAUUGCAGCAGGUGCGUAAAUUAUCCACUUUUGGCAUAAAGAGAUAGUGAUCAUAAAUAGCGGAUUCGGGUAUUUGCCUGGAGAUCGCAAUGAAAUAAUCGUAAAAGCUUUAAUGAAUGCAAUUGGAGGGCAAGUCUGGUGCCAGCAGCCGCGGCAAUUCCAGUUCCAAUAGUGUAUACUAAAGUUGCUGCAGUUGAAAAGCUCGUAGUUGGAUCUCGGCUUGCUAGCGUGUGUGAGCGCGCAAGUAGGCCUUUGCUGUAGAGUGCUUAAAGCGCUACGGCUUUACCUUGAACAAAAUAGAGUGCUUAAAGCAAGCAUUCUGCUUGAAUAUCUCAGCAUGGAAUAAUAGAAUACGACUUUUCUGUUGGUUUACCAGCAAAAGUAAUGAUUAACAGAGACAGACGGGGGCAUCCGUAUUGCUCCGUUAGAGGUGAAAUUCGUAGAUCGGUGCAGGACGUACUACAGCGAAAGCAUUUGCCAAGGAUGUUUUCAUUAAUCAAGAACGACAGUUGG
Molecule: ribosomal RNA, 876 nt
Filed under: Dicyemidae sp. DS-2016
Lineage: Eukaryota; Metazoa; Dicyemida; Rhombozoa; Dicyemidae
Description: SSU rRNA
Rfam family: Eukaryotic small subunit ribosomal RNA
Source: RNAcentral